AGCUCUAAUAGCGUAUAUUAAUGUUGUUGCAGUUAAAAAGCUCGUAGUUGGAUUUUGGUGUUUGACAAAUGGUCUGCCUUCGGGUCUGCACUGUUUGUUGGCACUUCUUUUCUGGGGAACUCACUGCUCUUAAUUGAGGGGUGCUGUAACGCAGAUCGUUUACUUUGAAAAAUUAGAGUGUUCAAAGCAGGCCAACGCAUUGAAUACAUUAGCAUGGAAUAAUGGAAUAGGACUUUGGU
RNAcentral lists this ribosomal RNA (239 nucleotides) under uncultured eukaryote. RNAcentral describes it as "partial small subunit ribosomal RNA". It matches the Rfam family "Eukaryotic small subunit ribosomal RNA", at positions 587 to 834 of the family's 1831-position model. The record is from RNAcentral.